This 451-nucleotide ribosomal RNA is filed under the name uncultured bacterium. RNAcentral describes it as "partial 16S ribosomal RNA". It matches the Rfam family "Bacterial small subunit ribosomal RNA", at positions 354 to 796 of the family's 1533-position model. The record is from RNAcentral.
GUGGGGAAUAUUGGACAAUGGGGGGAACCCUGAUCCAGCCAUGCCGCGUGUGUGAAGAAGGCCUUUUGGUUGUAAAGCACUUUAAGCGAGGAGGAGGCUACCGAGAUUAAUACUCUUGGAUAGUGGACGUUACUCGCAGAAUAAGCACCGGCUAACUCUGUGCCAGCAGCCGCGGUAAUACAGAGGGUGCAAGCGUUAAUCUGAUUUACUGGGCGUAAAGCGCGCGUAGGUGGCCAAUUAAGUCAAAUGUGAAAUCCCCGAGCUUAACUUGGGAAUUGCAUUCGAUACUGGUUGGCUAGAGUAUUGGAGAGGAUGGUAGAAUUCCAGGUGUAGCGGUGAAAUGCGUAGAGAUCUGGAGGAAUACCGAUGGCGAAGGCAGCCAUCUGGCCUAAUACUGACACUGAGGUGCGAAAGCAUGGGGAGCAAACAGGAUUAGAUACCCUGGUAGUCC